This 253-nucleotide ribosomal RNA is filed under the name uncultured bacterium. RNAcentral's name for it is "partial 16S ribosomal RNA". It matches the Rfam family "Bacterial small subunit ribosomal RNA", at positions 524 to 776 of the family's 1533-position model. The record is from RNAcentral.
UACGUAGGUGGCGAGCGUUGUCCGGAUUUACUGGGCGUAAAGCGCGCGCAGGCGGUUCUGUAAGUCCUGGGUGAAAUCGCCCGGCUCAACUGGGCGGGGGCCUGGGGGACUGCGGGACUGGAGGGGCCUAGAGGCCGGUGGAACUCCCGGUGUAGUGGUGAAAUGCGUAGAGAUCGGGAAGAACACCAGUGGCGAAGGCGGCCGGCUGGGGGGGCCCUGACGCUGAGGCGCGAGAGCGUGGGGAGCGAACAGG